Molecule: ribosomal RNA, 233 nt
Filed under: uncultured bacterium
Lineage: Bacteria
Description: partial 16S ribosomal RNA
Rfam family: Bacterial small subunit ribosomal RNA
Source: RNAcentral
GACUCAUGGCUCAGGAUGAACGCUAGCUACAGGCUUAACACAUGCAAGUCGAGGGGAAACGACAUCGAAAGCUUGCUUUUGAUGGGCGUCGACCGGCGCACGGGUGAGUAACGCGUAUCCAACCUGCCUACCACUUGGGGAUAACCUUGCGAAAGUAAGACUAAUACCCAAUGACAUCCCACGAAGACAUCUGAAUGGGAUUAAAGAUUUAUCGGUGAUGGAUGGGGAUGCGU